RNAcentral lists this ribosomal RNA (1078 nucleotides) under Haloferax sp. RNAcentral's name for it is "bacterial SSU rRNA". It matches the Rfam family "Archaeal small subunit ribosomal RNA", at positions 60 to 1136 of the family's 1478-position model. Lineage: Archaea; Methanobacteriati; Methanobacteriota; Halobacteria; Halobacteriales; Haloferacaceae. The record is from RNAcentral.
GCACGAGUUCAUACUCGUGGCGAAAAGCUCAGUAACACGUGGCCAAACUACCCUACAGAGAACGAUAACCUCGGGAAACUGAGGCUAAUAGUUCAUACGGGAGUCAUGCUGGAAUGCCGACUCCCCGAAACGCUCAGGCGCUGUAGGAUGUGGCUGCGGCCGAUUAGGUAGACGGUGGGGUAACGGCCCACCGUGCCGAUAAUCGGUACGGGUUGUGAGAGCAAGAGCCCGGAGACGGAAUCUGAGACAAGAUUCCGGGCCCUACGGGGCGCAGCAGGCGCGAAACCUUUACACUGCACGCAAGUGCGAUAAGGGGACCCCAAGUGCGAGGGCAUAUAGUCCUCGCUUUUCACGACUGUAAGGCGGUCGUGGAAUAAGAGCUGGGCAAGACCGGUGCCAGCCGCCGCGGUAAUACCGGCAGCUCAAGUGAUGACCGAUAUUAUUGGGCCUAAAGCGUCCGUAGCCGGCCACGAAGGUUCAUCGGGAAAUCCGCCAGCUCAACUGGCGGGCGUCCGGUGAAAACCACGUGGCUUGGGACCGGAAGGCUCGAGGGGUACGUCCGGGGUAGGAGUGAAAUCCCGUAAUCCUGGACGGACCACCGAUGGCGAAAGCACCUCGAGAAGACGGAUCCGACGGUGAGGGACGAAAGCUAGGGUCUCGAACCGGAUUAGAUACCCGGGUAGUCCUAGCUGUAAACGAUGCUCGCUAGGUGUGACACAGGCUACGAGCCUGUGCUGUGCCGUAGGGAAGCCGAGAAGCGAGCCGCCUGGGAAGUACGUCCGCAAGGAUGAAACUUAAAGGAAUUGGCGGGGGAGCACUACAACCGGAGGAGCCUGCGGUUUAAUUGGACUCAACGCCGGACAUCUCACCAGCUCCGACUACAGUGAUGACGAUCAGGUUGAUGACCUUAUCACGACGCUGUAGAGAGGAGGUGCAUGGCCGCCGUCAGCUCGUACCGUGAGGCGUCCUGUUAAGUCAGGCAACGAGCGAGACCCGCACUUCUAAUUGCCAGCAGCAGUUUCGACUGGCUGGGUACAUUAGAAGGACUGCCGCUGCUAAAGCGGAAGAAAGAACGGGC